ACUCCUACGGGACGCAGCAGUGGGGGAUAUUGCACAAUGGGGGAAACCCUGAUGCAGCGACGCCGCGUGAGUGAAGAAGUAUUUCGGUAUGUAAAGCUCUAUCGGCAGGGAAGAAAAAAAUGACAGUACCUGACUAAGAAGCCCCGGCUAAAUACGUGCCAGCAGCCGCGGUAAUACGUAUGGGGCAAGCGUUAUCCGGAUUUACUGGGUGUAAAGGGAGCGUAGGCGGCCUGGCAAGCCUGAUGUGAAAUACCGGGGCCCAACCCCGGGGCUGCAUUGGGAACUGCCCGGCUGGAGUGCCGGAG
RNAcentral lists this ribosomal RNA (305 nucleotides) under uncultured bacterium. RNAcentral's name for it is "bacterial SSU rRNA". It matches the Rfam family "Bacterial small subunit ribosomal RNA", at positions 335 to 654 of the family's 1533-position model. The record is from RNAcentral.